CGAGCGAUCAUAAGGGAGCUGACUGCAAAUCUGCCGUCAUCGACUUCAAGGUUCGACUCGAACAAUAGUGAGAGAACGUUGCCGCAGGCAACGGCCCGAAGGGUGAGGAGCUUUAGCUCCGAAUAAUCCUUUCCGCUAUAGAA
Molecule: small RNA, 143 nt
Filed under: Salmonella enterica
Lineage: Bacteria; Pseudomonadati; Pseudomonadota; Gammaproteobacteria; Enterobacterales; Enterobacteriaceae
Also listed under: 3 other names
Description: RtT sRNA
Rfam family: RtT RNA
About the family: This family represents a bacterial cis-regulatory element known as RtT RNA. The exact function of RtT is unknown although it is thought that it may be involved in changing the cellular response in relation to amino acid starvation.
Source: RNAcentral